CCUUCAACAGUACUAGGGGAACCUGUGAGGUAAUCGACACUCCACGAUAAUGACUUUCCUUCCUUUGAAAACUUCAGCCUGUAUACCUCCGCCUUAGCUUACCUUUAAGAGAUUCAUAGUGAGCAAGAAGUAAGACACUACCACAUGGCAGGUCAAGGUGCAGCUUAUGGGAAGGAGCAUCAUGGGUGACAUUUCAAUAAAAGACCAAUGGACCACUCAUGGAAACAUGAGUACGAAAAUGGACUUAGAAGUAAGGGAUCCAUUAGAAUAGACCCCUGAAACACUCCCUAGAAGGUGCACAAAUC
This 305-nucleotide ribosomal RNA is filed under the name Plumatella sp. Oki-MH2. RNAcentral's name for it is "partial 12S ribosomal RNA". The record is from RNAcentral. Lineage: Eukaryota; Metazoa; Bryozoa; Phylactolaemata; Plumatellidae.